RNAcentral lists this transfer RNA (66 nucleotides) under Julodis variolaris. RNAcentral's name for it is "tRNA-Ile". The record is from RNAcentral. Lineage: Eukaryota; Metazoa; Arthropoda; Insecta; Coleoptera; Buprestidae.
AAUGAAGUGCCUGACGAAAAGGGUUAUUUUGAUAGAAUAAAUUAUGUAACCUAGUUACCUUCAUUA